This is a long non-coding RNA of Balaenoptera musculus (blue whale), 1794 nucleotides long. RefSeq lists it as uncharacterized. The transcript is spliced from 3 exons. The record is from RefSeq and is a predicted model, not a curated record. NCBI's taxonomy places the organism in Eukaryota, Metazoa, Chordata, Mammalia, Artiodactyla, Balaenopteridae.
CAGAGGAGAGAAAACGCCGCUGUUAAGGGCAAGACGCCUUCCGCCUUUGUGAAGGCCACACAUUAACAGAGAAGACUCGACUCGUCCAUCUUCCCGCGCAUGCUCUAUGGAUAAUAGCUCAACGUCCCAAGGACCAGAGGGGGAGCUGUGGUCAUCUCCCAUUCUGUGGGUGAGGACUCGGGGGCUCCAAGAGGAAAUGUGUAGCUUAACUUGCUCGGGGUGAGUGGCAGAGCAGCCAACUGACAAAUAGGGAGUAAGGCACAAUUCUACAAGUUCUUGAUGGACCCGGGGUCAGGGUUAGGGGCCCCCUGCUCAAGUGACAACGAGCAGCAGUCAUCCCACUCGCAAUGUCAAAGGCCUGCAGUGAGGCUGUGGCUCUAUGAAGAAAAGAGACCGUCAGGUUCCCCCCAGCCUCAGCCUCCUGGGGUUUCGGGCACCUAUUCCUCUGUUUCUGCAGCAGCCAAUGGCUUUUCCCGAGCCUUUGACCUCCUGGGCAGCCACAAGAGUCAAAUGCAGUAAUUACACUAUUGCUGUGGUCAGAAGAAUAUCAAGGGAAUCAUUUUGGAAAGGUGGUGGGCAUGUUGGUCCCUAGAAGUACCAAGUCACCUGGAUCCGCUCAAGUGGGUCCACUCAAGUUUCAUUCAUGUCAAUAUCAGAAAUUAGCUCAACUUUUAAAUAAAAAUGUUCCCCUGGGCCAGGCAGCACAAGCAAUUUAAUCACAGCCCCCCACCCCCACCCCGGCUUCCACCUGCCGCCCUCCAACACAAACGUUCAGAGCAAGAAAGAACCCCGAACUGGUGGGUGACAUUUAAGUACUUGAAGAGGGAAAAGGAACAGAGGGGGGGAAAAAAAAAAGACAAAAUGAGCAUCCAUGAAGUGAAAUGAAGGAGAGAGCCACAGUUCACGCUUCAAUCUUGAGAGGAAUAAGACUUUCAUUCAUUUUUAAAAUCAACUUUGACUUGAGAUGUCCAUAAAGACCUCCCCGGGGGCAGUCAGGUGACAUUUUCAGUUUGGAGACAUUUAUGUUUCAGUAGAGCAGUGCUGGCCUCGGGAUAAUGUCAGUACCUCUCGUGACCUCCCAUCCCUGUUUACAUUAUCCAGACCCUUAAGUAAAUGGCUUGUCGGGGAAAUCGAACUCUGAAAGCAUUACGAUGUUUUAACAGCAAUCCAGAGCAGUUCAUGACUUCAGGGCAAGCACAUUAAGGCGGCUAAAUGUCUUUCACCCCAACGGUCUUUAACAGUAGACAGGGGAUGACUACCACAGCGAGAAACACGAGCUAGGCUUUUCCAUUUUGAUGAGCGUCCCAUUCUAAACUAGCAUUUGCUUAAACCUACCCCAAGCGGUGACUAUACACUCACUACCCGACCUCUCUUCAGUUCAUUGGAAAAUAAAAAGGUCGGGCCUGCAUAAGAAAGUGUGCUUCCUUUCAUUUCAAAAGGUGACCAGCUGUUUUCAUGAAGACCAACCUCCCUGAAAUAGACAGAUGAAACUGCCUAAGAUGGGACCCAGCACACAAUACAGUUCAAGUUCACUAGCAAAAGAAGUUUGCAGACCCCUAUCUGGAAGCGCUGACGUUCAGAGUGUGGCCCCAGGACCGGGAGCAUCAGCGUCGCCUAUGAACACGAACCAACGAAUCAACAUGAAGUGACCUGUAACGCACUUCGAAGCAGCAGCUAGCACGGGUGCCCCGAAGGUGCAGCUCAGCUCUCAUUUGAACAAGGCAAGCUCUGCCCCAUAAUCGUGCUGUUAUCAUCAUCUUGGGUACUGGGGCCUCUUAAAGGCCUGAUUGAAUG